UUCCUUAACCACAGUUCACCCGAACGCCUUAGUAUUUUCAACCUGACCACCUGUGUCGGUUUAGGGUACGGGCCAUACACACACAUCGCUAGAGGCUUUUCUCGACAGUACAGGAUCACCACCAUCAACCCCAAUGGGUCUACGCAUCACGUCUCAACCAUAUGUGUGGCGGAUUUACCUACCACACGAUCUACACGCUUACACCACCAAUCCAAUAAGUGGCGUGGCUACCUCACUGCGUCACCCCAUCACUUGAACCACACAUCAGGCCCCACGACAUCAACACCACCAAUCUUCAAAGAAGACUAGCAAUGCAUCCGCGGUGGUUAGUAUCAGUGCUUUAUCAUGGGCGCGCAUGUACGGGUACCAGAAUAUCAACUGGUUAUCCAUCGACUACGCCUGUCGGC
Molecule: ribosomal RNA, 407 nt
Filed under: Anophryoides haemophila
Lineage: Eukaryota; Ciliophora; Oligohymenophorea; Philasterida; Glauconematidae
Description: partial Bacterial large subunit ribosomal RNA
Source: RNAcentral